Molecule: ribosomal RNA, 404 nt
Filed under: uncultured cyanobacterium
Lineage: Bacteria; Bacillati; Cyanobacteriota
Description: bacterial SSU rRNA
Rfam family: Bacterial small subunit ribosomal RNA
Source: RNAcentral
UUCGCAAUGGGCGAAAGCCUGACGGAGCAAUACCGCGUGAGGGAGGAAGGCUCUUGGGUUGUAAACCUCUUUUCUCAGGGAAGAAAAAAAUGACGGUACCUGAGGAAUAAGCAUCGGCUAACUCCGUGCCAGCAGCCGCGGUAAUACGGAGGAUGCAAGCGUUAUCCGGAAUGAUUGGGCGUAAAGGGUCCGCAGGUGGCCAUGUAAGUCUGCUGUUAAAGAAUGAGGCUUAACCUCAUCAGAGCGGUGGAAACUACAGAGCUAGAGUGCGGUCGGGGUAGAGGGAAUUCCUGGUGUAGCGGUGAAAUGCGUAGAUAUCAGGAAGAACACCAGUGGCGAAAGCGCUCUACUAGACCAUAACUGACACUGAGGGACGAAAGCUAGGGGAGCGAAAGGGAUUAGAU